UUCUCUCGCACUAAUUGUCGUACACGUUCCUCGGUUCUGGCAAACGUGCGUGUCCUGCAGCUUUUCUGGUUCCGAUCCGUUGUGUCCUGUGCAGGUCACCGCUUGCGGAUCUGGAUCGGGCGCAAGGCAGAUUGAGCAAACCGAGCGUGUGCACUCCUCAGGAGGAGCCAGCGGAACGGCCGCUUGUGGAGCUUGUUGGUAACUGAAGCCAGAGGGAGUGGUUGCAGGCUUCGGGUGUGUUUUUCCAAGCCUGGUCGGCUGUGCAGUGGAGCCCAGGUUCCAGGGAUGUAUAUGCAGGUGGAAACACGUACCAGCACCCGCCUCCAUCUGAAGAGGGCUCCCGGCAUCCGGUCUUGGUCCCUGCUAGUUGGAAUAUUAUCCACUGGCCUGGCUGCUGCCUAUUACAGUGGAGGUAAAGUAUGCUUUCCCCUUUAGCUUCCUUGCACUUGGAAAUGAACAAAAAGCA
Molecule: long non-coding RNA, 466 nt
Filed under: Rattus norvegicus (Norway rat)
Lineage: Eukaryota; Metazoa; Chordata; Mammalia; Rodentia; Muridae
Description: long non-coding RNA NONRATT006379
Source: RNAcentral